UUGACCUCGGAUCGGGCAGGGAU
Molecule: ribosomal RNA, 23 nt
Filed under: Leptogium hibernicum
Lineage: Eukaryota; Fungi; Ascomycota; Lecanoromycetes; Peltigerales; Collemataceae
Description: partial 28S ribosomal RNA
Source: RNAcentral